AAAAAGUUAGUUAAAUUAUAACAUUAAUAUGUCAAGUUAAAAUUACUAAUAAUUAGUACUUUUUG
This 65-nucleotide transfer RNA is filed under the name Apochrysa matsumurae. RNAcentral describes it as "tRNA-Asp". Lineage: Eukaryota; Metazoa; Arthropoda; Insecta; Neuroptera; Chrysopidae. The record is from RNAcentral.